This 497-nucleotide ribosomal RNA is filed under the name uncultured bacterium. RNAcentral's name for it is "partial 16S ribosomal RNA". It matches the Rfam family "Bacterial small subunit ribosomal RNA", at positions 28 to 507 of the family's 1533-position model. The record is from RNAcentral.
GAUGAACGCUGGCGGCGUGCCUAAUACAUGCAAGUCGAGCGAACGGACGAGAAGCUUGCUUCUCUGAUGUUAGCGGCGGACGGGUGAGUAAAACGUGGAUAACCUACCUAUAAGACUGGGAUAACUUCGGGAAACCGGAGCUAAUACCGGAUAAUAUUUUGAACCGCAUGGUUCAAAAGUGAAAGACGGUCUUGCUGUCACUUAUAGAUGGAUCCGCGCUGCAUUAGCUAGUUGGUAAGGUAACGGCUUACCAAGGCAACGAUGCAUAGCCGACCUGAGAGGGUGAUCGGCCACACUGGAACUGAGACACGGUCCAGAAUCCUACGGGAGGCAGCAGUAGGGAAUCUUCCGCAAUGGGCGAAAGCCUGACGGAGCAACGCCGCGUGAGUGAUGAAGGUCUUCGGAUCGUAAAACUCUGUUAUUAGGGAAGAACAUAUGUGUAAGUAACUGUGCACAUCUUGACGGUACCUAAUCAGAAAGCCACGGCUAACUACGUG